ACUUAAAUUGAAGAGUUUGAUCAUGGCUCAGAUUGAACGCUGGCGGCAGGCCUAACACAUGCAAGUCGAGCGGAAACGGCA
This 81-nucleotide ribosomal RNA is filed under the name Salinivibrio kushneri. Its description in RNAcentral is "partial 16S ribosomal RNA". It matches the Rfam family "Bacterial small subunit ribosomal RNA", at positions 1 to 77 of the family's 1533-position model. The record is from RNAcentral. Lineage: Bacteria; Pseudomonadati; Pseudomonadota; Gammaproteobacteria; Vibrionales; Vibrionaceae.